AACGAACGCUGGCGGCAUGCCUAACACAUGCAAGUCGAACGAGACCUUCGGGUCUAGUGGCGCACGGGUGCGUAACGCGUGGGAACCUGCCCUUAGGUUCGGAAUAACUCCCCGAAAGGGGUGCUAAUACCGGAUAAUGUCUUCGGACCAAAGAUUUAUCGCCUUUGGAUGGGCCCGCGUUGGAUUAGCUAGUUGGUAGGGUAAAAGCCUACCAAGGCGACGAUCCAUAGCUGGUCUGAGAGGAUGAUCAGCCACACUGGGACUGAGACACGGCCCAGACCCCUACGGGAGGCAGCAGUGGGGAAUAUUGGAAAAUGGGCGAAAGCCUGAUCCAGCAAUGCCGCGUGAGUGAUGAAGGCCUUAGGGUUGUAAAGCUCUUUUACCCGGGAUGAUAAUGACAGUACCGAGAGAAUAAGCCCCGGCUAACUCCGU
This 432-nucleotide ribosomal RNA is filed under the name uncultured bacterium. RNAcentral describes it as "partial 16S ribosomal RNA". It matches the Rfam family "Bacterial small subunit ribosomal RNA", at positions 29 to 506 of the family's 1533-position model. The record is from RNAcentral.